UACAGAGGUCUCAACCGUUGUUCGGAUUCCUUGGGCGUAAAGGGUGCGUAGGCGGUCGCGCAAGUCGGAUGUGAAAUCUCGGGGCUCAACCCCGAAACUGCAUUCGAUACUGCGUGGCUAGAGUGCUGGAGGGGAGACUGGAAUUUACGGUGUAGCAGUGAAAUGCGUAGAUAUCGUAAGGAAGACCAGUGGCGAAGGCGAGUCUCUGGACAGCAACUGACGCUGAGGCACGAAGGCCAGGGGAGCAAACGGG
RNAcentral lists this ribosomal RNA (253 nucleotides) under uncultured bacterium. RNAcentral describes it as "partial 16S ribosomal RNA". It matches the Rfam family "Bacterial small subunit ribosomal RNA", at positions 524 to 776 of the family's 1533-position model. The record is from RNAcentral.